CCUACGGGUGGCAGCAGUGGGGAAUAUUGCACAAUGGGGGAAACCCUGAUGCAGCGACGCCGCGUGAGUGAAGAAGUAUCUCGGUAUGUAAAGCUCUAUCAGCAGGGAAGAAAAUGACGGUACCUGACUACGAAGCCCCGGCUAACUACGUGCCAGCAGCCGCGGUCAUACGUAGGGGGCAAGCGUUAUCCGGAUUUACUGGGUGUAAAGGGAGCGUAGACGGCGCUGCAAGUCCGGAGUGAAAGCCCAUGGCUUAACCAUGGUACUGCUCUGGAAACUGUGGAGCUUGAGUGCGGGAGAGGCAGGCGGAAUUCCUAGUGUAGCGGUGAAAUGCGUAGAGAUCAAGAGGAAUACUCAUGGCGAAGGCGACCUGCUAGAACAUAACUGACGCUGAUGCGCGAAAGCGUGGGGAGCAAACAGGAUUAGAUACCCUAGUAGUC
Molecule: ribosomal RNA, 440 nt
Filed under: uncultured bacterium
Lineage: Bacteria
Description: partial 16S ribosomal RNA
Rfam family: Bacterial small subunit ribosomal RNA
Source: RNAcentral